CUACCUUCAAGCACGGCUUGGUUGUUGAGCCAAUUGUCCUUUUUGAUGGACAGGCUUAAAAUGCAGUGGCGAUGCCGAGUCCUGGUGCCCGAGCGUAUGGAGCUCUGUCAUAACGCUUUAGUGGCCUAGCCGGCAUUUUUGUUGAUUAAACCCUUUUGGGGGAAAAUAAUCUAAG
RNAcentral lists this unclassified non-coding RNA (175 nucleotides) under uncultured Eurotiomycetes. RNAcentral's name for it is "sequence contains ITS2". The record is from RNAcentral. Lineage: Eukaryota; Fungi; Ascomycota; Eurotiomycetes.